This 468-nucleotide ribosomal RNA is filed under the name uncultured bacterium. RNAcentral describes it as "partial 16S ribosomal RNA". It matches the Rfam family "Bacterial small subunit ribosomal RNA", at positions 28 to 507 of the family's 1533-position model. The record is from RNAcentral.
GACGAACGCUGGCGGCGUGCUUAACACAUGCAAGUCGAACGGAAAGGCCCUGCUUUUGUGGGGUGCUCGAGUGGCGAACGGGUGAGUAACACGUGAGUAACCUGCCCUUGACUUUGGGAUAACUUCAGGAAACUGGGGCUAAUACCGGAUAGGAGCUCCUGCUGCAUGGUGGGGGUUGGAAAGUUUCGGCGGUUGGGGAUGGACUCGCGGCUUAUCAGCUUGUUGGUGGGGUAGUGGCUUACCAAGGCUUUGACGGGUAGCCGGCCUGAGAGGGUGACCGGCCACAUUGGGACUGAGAUACGGCCCGGACUCCUACGGGAGGCAGCAGUGGGGAAUAUUGCACAAUGGGCGGAAGCCUGGUGCAGCAACGCCGCGUGCGGGAUGACGGCCUUCGGGUUGUAAACCGCUUUCGCCUGUGACGAAGCGUGAGUGACGGUAAUGGGUAAAGAAGCACCGGCUAACUACGUG